This 68-nucleotide transfer RNA is filed under the name Planocera multitentaculata. Its description in RNAcentral is "tRNA-aspartic acid". Lineage: Eukaryota; Metazoa; Platyhelminthes; Polycladida; Planoceridae. The record is from RNAcentral.
AAAAAGUUAGUAUAUUUUAUUACAAAUGGUUGUCGGCUAUUAAAAGAGAAUUUAUUUCUCACUUUUUG